RNAcentral lists this small nuclear RNA (107 nucleotides) under Neotoma lepida (desert woodrat). The record is from RNAcentral. Lineage: Eukaryota; Metazoa; Chordata; Mammalia; Rodentia; Cricetidae.
GUUCUCAUUUCAAUGACACAUAUAUUCAAAUUUGAAUGACGCUGAGAAUAUCAUCAUGGCCCUUGGAAAAGAAUGAAAACAAAUUACUGAAAUUAGUCCAUUUCUUU